GAUGAAGAACGUAGUGAAAUGCGAUAAGUAAUGUGAAUUGCAGAAUUCAGUGAAUCAUCGAAUCUUUGAACGCACAUUGCGCCCGCCAGUAUUCUGGCGGGCAUGCCUGUCCGAGCGUCAUUUCAACCCUCGAACCCCUCCGGGGGGUCGGCGUUGGGGAUCGGCCCUUUACCGGCCGGCCCCGAAAUACAGUGGCGGUCUCGCCGCAGCCUCUCCUGCGCAGUAGUUUGCACACUCGCACCGGGAGCGCGGCGCAGUCCAAUGCCGUAAAACACCCAACUUUCUGAAAUGUUGACCUCGGAUCAGGUAGGAAUACCCGCUGAACUUAAGCAUAUAAUAAGCGGAGGA
RNAcentral lists this unclassified non-coding RNA (348 nucleotides) under soil metagenome. RNAcentral describes it as "partial contains 5.8S ribosomal RNA, internal transcribed spacer 2, and large subunit ribosomal RNA". The stretch from base 1 to 120 matches the Rfam family "5.8S ribosomal RNA", at positions 35 to 154 of the family's 154-position model. The record is from RNAcentral.